CGGAGACUGACAGCGAGAAAGAACUCCCCUGUCUCCUAUCUUCUCACCCUGCCUUGGCGCAGAGCUGUUCCGACACGGAACAGGAUUUAGGAGCCCCUUCCCGAGGCCCGCUGUGGUCAGGACGUCUUCAAGUGGCUGCGGGUCCCUCGCCCCGGGGGUGCCCAUGAAGUGCCAUUUUGUUCCCGAGCACAGAAUGCUGCAUGGUCUUGGAGGCCGAGUCCAGAAGAAUGCGGGCGCUCAGAAGAGUGCGGGGGGGUGGGGAGCAGAGCCAGAGAACCAGUGGUGAGGGAGAGCGGUCCUGCCGGUCGUGUUGGACAGAGGAGUGAGGACGCAACGGUGUUCUUUGCCUCCCCGUGUACACCAAGGAGACCGACCCUAUCCUCCCUUGGAUAUCCUCCCUUGGAGCCCCCUCUUACCAUGUCUGGCUGGCGGCGACCCAGAUGCCACGUGAUGGUCAUUUGAAGACAGGCCUGUCGGAUAUCAGGAAUCCCAAGGUCCAGACGCCUGCCUUCAGGGACCUGGGCUUUCGGCUCUCAUACCUGGCCCUGGUUGAUGGCCCCGUGCUGAGCAGUGCAUGUGAAGACACACAUGGUAAGGAAAUGGCAGAGUUGCUUCUGGGACUGGAAGGAGACGGGGAAACCUGCCAGAGAGGAACAGGAUUGAGGGGCUCCAGUGCGAGAGGAGAGAAAUGCAGGUGAUCGUCUUGGGGGUGUCUACACCAGUCGCGCUCAAACUGCGUGGAUCGAUUUAGCGUAUGUGCGGCCGUCAAGCGGUGCUGCUGUCUGUCAGACCUGUGGGUGCUGCGCUCAGCGAACGACCCAAGCGGGGCCUCCAGGAUCAAGAUGUGAAGGCAGUUUGCACUGGCCCGAAACUUUCCAGAAAGUUCCUGAGAGAUGCCGAGUGUCCUAGAAAGUCCAGAGUCCACGGGAGCAGAGCGGCUACCUGAGGACAAGCAGCCCCUAAUGACAGGAGUGGUCCUUGCAAGAACGAAGGACUUUCGUAGCUUUUAGCCAGUGUCAUGAGGCUGUGUUCUGUCCUUCUGUCCUUUCACAACCCUGCCGUGGUGCUCAGGAUUCUGGAUUCAGGAGGUCAGGAUUCUGGAUGCGCACCCCAGCAUCUGAGGCCAGAGCCAGCCCGCGCACGGAAUCUUUGUGAGCAAGCAGACUUUGCUCUCCCGUGGGACUGACCACAGCCCAGCCGUCUGCCCUGGGACAAGGCUGACAUAGGUGGGGACAGGGCUGACUUCGUGAUGGGGGAGCGUGAGCCCGAAUAGAAGCCUGACCUGUUCCUGAAGACCAGAAGAUUGUGACGCAGGAGCACCCUGAGAGCCAUAAAUCCGUCUGAUCUGUGCUACUCUAGACUCAGAGGGGCCACGGCUACCGGUGGCCAGGCUUGGGGGCGGGAGUGCCGGGAAGCCCCCAGCUGAAACCCCGCGGCUGGAACUUGUGUGCAUAUCUUGCCAACAUUUCCGCUCCUGGCACCUAAAAUGGAAGCUUCCAGACUGGCUCUCCUCCCGGGUGGGUUGUUUCUGGCAAUUACCACUGGAUUUGUCCCUUCUUAGCCGUGUCCCUGUGCAAGAUGUUGAGGACAUUUUUACGCAA
This is a long non-coding RNA of Neogale vison (American mink), 1601 nucleotides long. RefSeq lists it as uncharacterized. The transcript has 4 exons. The record is from RefSeq and is a predicted model, not a curated record. Lineage: Eukaryota; Metazoa; Chordata; Mammalia; Carnivora; Mustelidae.